UCUUAGUCUUCACUGCAACUGUGUGCUGGAGUGGUUGUGGUGAAAAUAAUGCUAUUCUAUCAUGACUAAUGUUGUCUUUAGUUUUGUGUGGGCUUUUCUGGUGGAAUGUGAGGACAACAAGAAGAAUGAAAUAAUUAGAGUUGAUACACAUACCACCUCAUAGCAAACACUAGAAGGAAAAUUCAUGGUGCUAGAAGAGUGUUAUGAGACAACUCCAGAUUAGAGGAAGGUUUACAUGCAGAAGAGAUGCUAGGUUCAAGGGCUGAGUACAUUCACUGGAAAGUUCCCCUACAACUCCAUAUGCUUUGGGUCAUGCUUAGAGGUGUAGAGGUCCACUGUUCCAGCUGGAAGAUGGCAUUUGUGACUGCAACCUGAAAAACAGGCAUUAGGAUUUAUUUCUGAAGCAACACAUCUGCAGCCUAACUAUGCUGUAAACUUUCAUUAAAUGCUUGAUGGAAAUCAAUGCUCAUUUAUAAAGUGAUAUUGCAGCACUACAGUUUGAUAUGACAGAACUAGUCAUGGUAAAUAAAUGAUUCAGGGAAUAUGGCUUUUUUGCUUUU
Molecule: long non-coding RNA, 560 nt
Filed under: Anas platyrhynchos platyrhynchos (common mallard)
Lineage: Eukaryota; Metazoa; Chordata; Aves; Anseriformes; Anatidae
Description: lncRNA (ENSAPLG00000025858.1)
Source: RNAcentral